RNAcentral lists this transfer RNA (71 nucleotides) under Dipodomys ordii (Ord's kangaroo rat). It matches the Rfam family "tRNA". From Rfam's summary of the family: Transfer RNA (tRNA) molecules are approximately 80 nucleotides in length. Their secondary structure includes four short double-helical elements and three loops (D, anti-codon, and T loops). Lineage: Eukaryota; Metazoa; Chordata; Mammalia; Rodentia; Heteromyidae. The record is from Rfam by way of RNAcentral.
GGGAAUGUGGCUCAGUUGGUAGAGUGCUUGCCUAGUAUGCAUGAAGCUCUGGGUUAGAGUCCUCAGUACCA